UACGUAGGGGGCGAGCGUUGUCCGGAAUCAUUGGGCGUAAAGAGCGCGUAGGCGGUCCGGUAAGUCUGCCGUGAAAGCCAGGGGCUCAACCCUUGGAUGCCGGUGGAUACUGUCGGGCUAGAGUCCGGAAGAGGCGAGUGGAAUUCCUGGUGUAGCGGUGAAAUGUGCAGAUAUCAGGAAGAACGCCUAUGGCGAAGGCAGCUCGCUGGGACGGAACUGACGCUGAGGCGCGAAAGCGUGGGGAGCGAACAGGAUUAGAAACCCGAGUAG
Molecule: ribosomal RNA, 270 nt
Filed under: uncultured bacterium
Lineage: Bacteria
Description: partial 16S ribosomal RNA
Rfam family: Bacterial small subunit ribosomal RNA
Source: RNAcentral